This 509-nucleotide ribosomal RNA is filed under the name uncultured archaeon. RNAcentral describes it as "bacterial SSU rRNA". It matches the Rfam family "Archaeal small subunit ribosomal RNA", at positions 497 to 997 of the family's 1478-position model. The record is from RNAcentral.
AUUAGGGUCGUAAAGGGUACCGGUACGCCGGUUUCGGGUUCGAGUCCUCCCGGGAAACGUACUGAUAGCUCAACUAUUAGGCUUUCGGGGGAUACUGCCAGACUUGGAACCGGGAGAGGUAAGAGGUACUACAGGGGUAGGAGUGAAAUCUUGUAAUCCCUGUGGGACCACCUGUGGCGAAGGCGUCUUACCAGAACGGGUUCGACGGUGAGGGACGAAAGCUGGGGGCACGAACCGGAUUAGAUACCCGGGUAGUCCCAGCCGUAAACGAUGCUCGCUAGGUGUCAGGCAUGGCGCGACCGUGUCUGGUGCCGCAGGGAAGCCGUGAAGCGAGCCACCUGGGAAGUACGGCCGCAAGGCUGAAACUUAAAGGAAUUGGCGGGGGAGCACAACAACGGGUGGAAGCCUGCGGUUUAAUUGGACUCAACGCCGGACAACUCACCGGGGGCGACAGCAAUAUGUAGGCCAAGCUGAAGACUUUGCCUGAAUCGCUGAGAAGUGGUGCAUGG